Molecule: long non-coding RNA, 3922 nt
Organism: Gouania willdenowi (blunt-snouted clingfish)
Lineage: Eukaryota; Metazoa; Chordata; Actinopteri; Blenniiformes; Gobiesocidae
Source: Ensembl
CUCAUAAUUAAGGUGACUUGCAACAACAAAGACAUGAAGACGGAGCCUUUAUUGUUACUAUAGAGGACAUUGUUGAUGUGCUAUGGAGACAUAAAACGGCACACAUGGAUCCCUGUUAGUGGACUGUGAGGAGGUUUGCUGAUGGAUGGGCGAUCAAUGAAGGUCGGUGGUGGUCUGCUCCCCAUUUUACCGAGAAGGACCCCAAAGGAUGCUGCGCACAUGCGCGUUGUGCACACACCGGAGCGCCAGCGGUAGGGAAGAAGCCCUAAUGGCGGAGAAUGUUCGCUCGCCUUUUGACUACCGGGAGCCACCGACCCUCGACAGCGACGGGGAUGGGGGCAAGCCUCCACCGUCCCGGGGCCGCGUGUGUGGGAGAAAGAGGAAGGGCACGCCUGUGAAGGUGUGCGACCGAGCGUACGUAACAGAAGAUGAGGAGGAGGAGAGCAUGUCGGAGCACAGCUACAGCCCCGGUGAUGGCCAGUACCCAGAGGGAGCAGAGGACCGCCUCCCUCCACCUGGCAGUCCGUACUACCUCCCUGAUCCCACACAACUCUGUGUGCCGGAGUUGGGCGAGGACGGGGCGGGCGGCGUUAGAGGACCCGUGCUCUUCCAUCCACCGCCCAACUGCAGAAUCAGAGAAGUUCACUGCGGCACCCAGGUGCGGCUGGUCGUCAUAGCGAUCCGAGACAUCGCCAAAGGAGAAGAGAUCACGGUGGACUACAGCCUGACGGACUGGGGCGAGAACGCAAUGGAGGAAGAGGGUGGCCCCCAUCCGCUAUCUCUCUCUGUUUCCGAUUACCUCACUCCCUCCUGGUCCCUAUCCCCCUCCUCCUCCCCGCUCACCCACUCUGAACCCAGUGACUCGGACCGAGAGGAGGACGAAGAGGAGGAAGAUGACGACGACGACGAUGAUGACGAAGAGGAGGAGAUCGAGGAGAUGAGGGGCCGGAUGCUUCGGCGCAGGAAGAAGCGCAAGUUGCCCUCCGCUGUGAAUUCUAAGAAGAAGAGCGGUCCCACCUCCUCCAGAGGCCCCGGGCGUCCCUGCUCCUCCUUCUCCCGCCCGGCGCCUGCCGCUCCCCCGACUCGAUCCCAGUCACAGACGUCCCUGGUGCCACCGACCACCAACAUAAACAAUAACAUUAACAUAAACAUCGGCAGCUCCAGCGGGGCCACGGUGAGCCGGAGGCAGCACUGCCCCUACUGCGGCCGUAACUAUCGCUCUCUGGCCCGUCACCUGGAGAAGCAUCACGCCAACCAGCCUGAGGUCAGGGCGGCCAUGGAGCUAGCACACCUCAACUCACAAAACGCCUCCAACGGCAACGCGGUGCACACACAUCCCUCUUCAUCCUCCGCCACCCCCUCGACCCCGCACACACAUUCCUUUGCCGUCCCCCAACCUUGUGCAUCCAACGCCACACCCCCCUCCCUCUUUCCUAGAGAAAGGGAGCCUCCCGCUACCCGUUCUAGCACAGGCAGCGUCUCCUUUUCUCUCUCGCUUUCACCUCCGUCAUCUUCAACUCCGCCCACCACCUCCAAAAAGGGGACAAAGGUCCAAGCACAGCCCGCGACGCAAAGGGUGAAGAGUCCGUCGCCGCCUCCGCCAACACCGCCAAAGCGCGGUCGGAGGAUGAAGAGGGAAAAGCAGGAAGAGCCACCGAAGGUGGAGGUGGAGGUGGAGAGCCUGAGAAACCAGGAGGAACUGGCCCCGCCUCCUACACCAGAGCCUGAUGUGGAUCCGAAUGAAGAUUUGGAGCUGAGCGCUGGAGAAGAAGCCCCAGUGGUGGAGGAGCAGAACGGAGACAUUGCAAGCACAGUCAAACAUCAAAUGUCUCCGCUGCUCUCGUCCCUAUCCUGUUUGGUUCUCUACCUGCGGCGCCAGCAACACUCCUCCUUCCUGUCUUUGAGCCGCACUCCUCAGUCGGCCGAGGCUUGGCGGCUCCUCUGCCACACCAGCCUCUCUCUGCUGAUUCUCUACAAUCGCCACAGGGAGUGCGAGGUGGCCAAGCUCACUAUCCAGGACUACGGCAACCGCACCGAGCCCCAAGGGAGCCCCACCAAUGGCCCCACCACUGGUAUGGAAGCUCUCCUGUCGCCCUUCGAGCACAAGGUCCUCUGCAAUCUCCCGCGGGCCGGAGUGUUGGGGAAGCGUGGUCGUGUCCAGCCUCUGAUUCUGCCCCCCCACUGCGAGUCGUGCCUAGACCUGCUUCUUCAAACCAGCCCUAAUGUGGGCGUGGACCCGGACAGUCCGUACGUUUUCUCUCGGCCCUACCACUCGCCGGCCACGCCCCUCCGAGGGACGGACCUUUUGAGAAACCUUGCAAGAGCCAGCGGAGCUAAAAACCCUGGUACGGUCACAGCGACGCGGGCCAGGCGGCAGGUGGCCAUUCUCACCCAACUUCUCCUGCUAGAGGAGGGGGGGGAAGGCCAGGGCGGAGCCAUCAAACGCUUGGAGAACUUCCUGGAGAACGAGUACCACGUCACCCAGAACUGCUCCAGUAUCAUGCGAGACCCAGGACUGAUGGGUCGAGUGGGACGCGUUGUUCUCUACGGAGAGAAAGAGGGUGUGCUGUUCAGGGGGAUGAGUCUACAGCACAUCUGCCUCGAGUUGGAUGUGAUGUCUGGAAACUCGGCAGAUUCCUUCUCUGAGGAAUCUGAACACGAGGAAGAGAAAGAGGAAGUCAAAGAAAAGAAGGAGGUGCCGGUGAAAAAGAAAGGACGUGGUCGACCCCCGAGGAAGAAGAAAGCCAACGCUCCGUCUCUGCCCAACACUUCCCAGACUGCUAAUGUCCACAUCAGGAGAGGCACUCCACCCAAGUCAGGCAAACGCGGCGUGCUGAAGCGGCCCUGGUCGGAGGCGGAGCGCGUCGCCGUGGAGACCCACCUGAGCAGGAACCUAAUGGAGCUCCGUGUUCCCGCCAAGGCGGACUGUGAGCGCUGCCUGGAACUCUGCCCCCUGCUGGUGAGCAACCAGCGAGACUGGAGGGCCAUCAAGUUCUACGUCCACAACCGCAUCCAGCUGCUGAAGAAGCAGGAGAGGAGGGAGAGCGCCGCCACGCUAGGAUAAGGAAUUACAACAACAACAAAAAAUAAUACAGGUCGGAUACAGGUGUGUACAAAUAACCAGCAAACUGAGUGACAUCAUCAUUCUGGUGACCUGAUGUGAGGUGCUUUAUCGACUAUUAUCAAGCAGUUGGACAACGUGGACUUUUCCGUGUGAAUAUAAAAUUAAACUCAACGCUUUAAAAGGGAAAAAAAAGUAAACAAAGAAAUCCCAUUUUCUAUAUUUUUUACUUUGUUAGUGGACAGGAAAGAGACGUGAUGAAGCUAGAAUACAUGAAGGUCACUAAAGGCAUGUUUCACUUUACUUCAGUUCAAGACGUUUUGGAUUUUUAAAGGACUCCAACGAUCCCCCUCACUACGAAAAACCACAGGAUGCAGUUGUCUACAAUUUAAAAAAGUCACAGAAAAGUAAUUUCAAUAGUUUAACAUUUAAGAAGCACUAUUUAAAACCAUUUUGGGAUUCACUUUGAUAUGAACACACAUUGUACAAUUGGAUGUGUCGCAAAGAAAAGACAGAUAUAACUGCAAUUGCUGACAUGUAGUAUAUGAAAGUCUAGAUUUUAUAUUUGGCAAAUAUUAAUAAUUUUAUUAGAGUUUUGCAUUCCCAGCUGCUACAUUAUCUCACAUUUAUCACCAAUGGAUUAAAAUUCUACUGAUUAAUUUUAGUGCUGAGAAGUAGAUUUUUAUUGGCGAUGCUGAUAUUAAGGGUUUUAAAAAGUUCAUAUAUGGAAUUAGAAUAUUAAGGAUGAGGAUUAUAACCACUGGAAAAAAUAUUGGACCUUAAAUUAUUAUUAUUAUUAAUGUCAAAAUUCUGACUUUAAUCUCAUAAUUCAGUUUUUUUUUUUUUUCAGAACAUUAAUAA